AUGCACGCUGGCGGCGUGCUUAACACAUGCCAGUCGAACGAUGAAGCCCAGCUUGCUGGGUGGAUUAGUGGCGAACGGGUGAGUAACACGUGAGUAACCUGCCCUUGACUCUGGGAUAAGCCUGGGAAACUGGGUCUAAUACUGGAUAUGACUUCUCAUCGCAUGGUGGGGGGUGGAAAGAUUUAUUGGUCUUGGAUGGACUCGCGGCCUAUCAGCUUGUUGGUGAGGUAAUGGCUCACCAAGGCGACGACGGGUAGCCGGCCUGAGAGGGUGACCGGCCACACUGGGACUGAGACACGGCCCAGACUCCUACGGGAGGCAGCAGUGGGGAAUAUUGCACAAUGGGCGCAAGCCUGAUGCAGCGACGCCGCGUGAGGGAUGACGGCCUUCGGGUUGUAAACCUCUUUCAGUAGGGAAGAAGCGAGAGUGACGGUACCUGCAGAAGAAGCGCCGGCUAACUACGUG
This 465-nucleotide ribosomal RNA is filed under the name uncultured bacterium. RNAcentral's name for it is "partial 16S ribosomal RNA". It matches the Rfam family "Bacterial small subunit ribosomal RNA", at positions 29 to 507 of the family's 1533-position model. The record is from RNAcentral.